UGGGGAAUAUUGCGCAAUGGGGGAAACCCUGACGCAGCGACGCCGCGUGUGGGAUGAAGGUCUUCGGAUUGUAAACCACUGUCGCGAGGGACGAAGCUCUGAUGGUACCUCGAAAGGAAGCACCGGCUAACUCUGUGCCAGCAGCCGCGGUAAUACAGAGGGUGCGAGCGUUGUCCGGAAUCACUGGGCGUAAAGGGCGCGUAGGCGGCCCGGUAAGUAGGGGGUGAAAUCUCAUGGCUCAACUGUGAGGCUGCCUUCUAGACUGCCAGGCUUGAGCACAGUAGAGGCGAGUGGAAUUCCCGGUGUAGCGGUGGAAUGCGUAGAGAUCGGGAAGAACAUCGGUGGCGAAGGCGGCUCGCUGGGCUGUUGCUGACGCUGAGGCGCGAAAGCGUGGGGAGCAAACAGGAUUAGAUACCCAAGUAGUCCCUGAGCGGGCUGGCAAGGCGCAU
RNAcentral lists this ribosomal RNA (449 nucleotides) under uncultured bacterium. Its description in RNAcentral is "bacterial SSU rRNA". It matches the Rfam family "Bacterial small subunit ribosomal RNA", at positions 355 to 825 of the family's 1533-position model. The record is from RNAcentral.